GGUACAUUAACAUUGGCUUCUCAGAUUUGCAAUUAGGUGGGCUAUUGUGGUUCUGACUUAUUAUCCUGUAGAGCAGACACAUUGGCAUCCAUAUGACAGAGACUUGCAGUUUCACUGGUGACCAAAGUAGGAUACCUUGCAUAAUUUCACUCAUUUAGCUGAUAAAGGGGCAGUAAAAAAAGUAGUAGGAAAAAAUUUGUUCACUCAUUUGAGUGAAUUAAAUCCUCAUUAAGUUUUCAUGUGAUCGUCUCAUGUGAAGUUUGAUCUAUUUGAAUUUAAGUAAGAGGACUCCUUUUCUCCUUUUUACAUUUCUCUUGCUUCUGUUCUUGGAAAAAAUGUUGCUAUUCCAGGCUAAUUAUCAAGCUUGUGCACAGGUUUUUUUGAUGCUUUCCAUUUGAUUGCUAU
This 405-nucleotide unclassified non-coding RNA is filed under the name Hevea brasiliensis (rubber tree). Lineage: Eukaryota; Viridiplantae; Streptophyta; Magnoliopsida; Malpighiales; Euphorbiaceae. The record is from RNAcentral.